Molecule: ribosomal RNA, 492 nt
Filed under: uncultured bacterium
Lineage: Bacteria
Description: partial 16S ribosomal RNA
Rfam family: Bacterial small subunit ribosomal RNA
Source: RNAcentral
AGUGAACGCUGGCGGUAGGCCUAACACAUGCCAGUCGAACGGCAGCACAGUAAGAUCUUGCUCUUACGGGUGGCGAGUCGCGGACGGGAGAGGAAUACAUCGGACUCUACUUUUUCGUGGGGGAUAACGUAGGGAAACUUACGCUCAUACCGCAUACGACCUACGGGUGAAAGCAUGGGAUCUUCGGACCUUGCGCGAUUGAAUGAGCCGAUGUCGGAUUAGCUAGUUGGCGGGGUAAAGGCCCACCAAGGCGACGAUCCGUAGCUGGUCUGAGAGGAGGAUCAGCGACACUGGAACUGAGACACGGUCCAGACUCCUACGGGAGGCAGCAGUGGGGAAUAUUGGACAAUAGGCGCAAGCCUGACCCAGCCAUACCGCGUGUGUGAAGAAGGCCUUCGGGUUGUAAAGCCCUUUUGUUGGGAAAGAAAAGCAGCAGGUUAAUACCCCGCUGUUCUGACGGUACCCAAAGAAUAAGCACCGGCUAACUUCGUG